RNAcentral lists this ribosomal RNA (843 nucleotides) under Stylochus ijimai. RNAcentral's name for it is "partial 28S rRNA". It matches the Rfam family "Eukaryotic large subunit ribosomal RNA", at positions 476 to 1104 of the family's 3401-position model. Lineage: Eukaryota; Metazoa; Platyhelminthes; Polycladida; Stylochidae. The record is from RNAcentral.
UUCAGCCCUUCGCGAGAUUGAUGAUGUCGGUUGUGGGAUCUCACGACUCCUCCGAUGUUACUUCUUUUUCGUGAUAGGUGCACUUUCCUCUUAGUCGGACCACGACCAGCGAGCUGUCUUGUCUAAGAUUUGUGGAAGGUAGCUUCUGCCUCGGUAGAAGUGUUAUAGCCACUCAUUUGGAGCGAGCGGAGCGUUGGAUAACUUGAUGCCUGCCCUUUGGGCUCGUACGUUGGCUUCUUUCUGCGGUGUUUCCGGCUUCACUGCCUCGGCAGGGGUGUUGGGGAUACUGUGGCUCGAGUCGGCCUCUGCGAUUGGCGUCUACAGUCAGUGGUUUCGAAGUAGGCAGUCCACCUGACCCGUCUUGAAACACGGACCAAGGAGUCUAACAUGUGCGCGAGUCAUUGGGCUCUACGAAACCUAAAGGCGCAGUGAAAGUGAAGAUUCAUUUUGGUGGAUUGAGGUAGGAUCCUGGGCUACGUGCUCAGGCGCACUACCGGCCCGUUCGACAUGUUUUCAUACGGGCGGAGCAAGAGCGUACACGUUGGGACCCGAAAGAUGGUGAACUAUGCUUGCGCAGGUCGAAGCCAGAGGAAACUCUGGUGGAGGACCGUAGCGAUUCUGACGUGCAAAUCGAUCGUCAAACGUGAGUAUAGGGGCGAAAGACUAAUCGAACCAUCUAGUAGCUGGUUCCCUCCGAAGUUUCCCUCAGGAUAGCUGGCACUCGGGAAAUGAAACAGUUUUAUCCGGUAAAGCGAAUGAUUAGAGGUAUUGGGACGAAACUGCUCUCAACCUAUUCUCAAACUUUAAAUGGGUAAGAUGCCCGACUCGCUCAAUUGGAGCCGG